AACGAACGCUGGCGGCAGGCCUAACACAUGCAAGUCGAGCGGACCCUUCGGGGUUAGCGGCGGACGGGUGAGUAACGCGUGGGAAUAUGCCCUUCUCUACGGAAUAGUCCUGGGAAACUGGGGGUAAUACCGUAUACGCCCUUUGGGGGAAAGAUUUAUCGGGGAAGGAUUAGCCCGCGUUGGAUUAGGUAGUUGGUGGGGUAAUGGCCUACCAAGCCGACGAUCCAUAGCUGGUUUGAGAGGAUGAUCAGCCACACUGGGACUGAGACACGGCCCAGACUCCUACGGGAGGCAGAAGUGGGGAAUCUUAGACAAUGGGGGCAACCCUGAUCUAGCCAUGCCGCGUGAGUGAUGAAGGCCUUAGGGUUGUAAAGCUCUUUCAGCUGGGAAGAUAAUGACGGUACCAGCAGAAGAAGCCCCGGCUAACUCCGUG
Molecule: ribosomal RNA, 433 nt
Filed under: uncultured bacterium
Lineage: Bacteria
Description: partial 16S ribosomal RNA
Rfam family: Bacterial small subunit ribosomal RNA
Source: RNAcentral